This 240-nucleotide unclassified non-coding RNA is filed under the name soil metagenome. RNAcentral describes it as "partial contains 5.8S ribosomal RNA, internal transcribed spacer 2, and large subunit ribosomal RNA". The record is from RNAcentral.
AACGCACGAGACCUGCGGACCUGCGGAGGGAUCAUUAAUGAGAAACUGCCCCUCGCGGGUAGAUCUCCCACCCUUUGUAAACUUACCUUUGUUGCUUUGGCAGGCCCGUCUCCGGACCGCCGGCUUCGGCUGGCCAGUGCCUGCCAGAGGAUUCUAAAACUCUGUCUGUCAGUGUUGUCUGAGUCUAUAUACAAUCGUUAAAACUUUUAGUAACGGAUCUCUAGAUCGGAAGAGCACACG